CAGACUUUACAUCCUUGGACAUAUUUUCUUCAUUAUCAAAGGAUGCUUCAUCCUCUAGCUGUAAACCAAUGCAAUCAAUCACCAACCAUCAUCCAUGGAGUCCAAAUUAAGGUGCUUUCCACUUGUUCCCAUUAAGGUCCUUUCACCAUUUUCUGUCAUUAUUGCGACCUUUCCCACUGCCAAAGCCAUUAGAGAACCUAUCAUUUCUUCUAUCAGAAAAUCCCCGGCCCCUGCCACCUCUGCCCCCCGAGAACCUACUACCACCACUCCUGUCACUGAAGCCACCCCGACCUCGACCACCACCGCCACCAAAUCUUCCCCUUGAUUGGUCUCUUUCUUGCAAGGGAGGCAGUACUUUUAGCACCUCUAAGCUGACAUUAGCUGCAUUUUCCUGACCAACAAGAAAUGUGUCCAGAUCUGUUGCAGGCACAUCAAACACAACACCAUUCCCAUCAGCUGUGAGCGUCAUACCCUUCACUGCUAAGUCAAUCUUAUCCUCAGGCAAGAAUCUCCUCAAGAUGCCAAAACCAAAUGAUAGUGUGUAGAUGGGUUUUCCAGCUUCAAGGAGCAAUGUAACAUGGUUCUCCAUGGAUGUUAGAAGUGAUCUAUUCUUUAUCUCAGUGUAACCAGCAGCCUUGGCAAGGGCUUUUGCAAGUAAUUCUACUGCUGACAAACCCGAUGUAUUCAACAGAUCUUCUGCUGCAGACUUAAAUGCAGGAACCACACUGUCAGAAACCUG
Molecule: unclassified non-coding RNA, 739 nt
Filed under: Hevea brasiliensis (rubber tree)
Lineage: Eukaryota; Viridiplantae; Streptophyta; Magnoliopsida; Malpighiales; Euphorbiaceae
Source: RNAcentral